Wasmannia auropunctata (little fire ant) is the source of this 772-nucleotide long non-coding RNA. RefSeq lists it as uncharacterized. The transcript has 2 exons. Lineage: Eukaryota; Metazoa; Arthropoda; Insecta; Hymenoptera; Formicidae. The record is from RefSeq and is a predicted model, not a curated record.
AACCACCUUAAAAUAAUUAACGAGACCGUGAAUUCUCGUCGUCAUGAAAAAAAAAAGCAAGACAGAAAAAGGAAAGAACGGAGAGGGAAAUAGAUGGAAAUGUAGAGCAACGUGCUGUAACGCGCGCGAGUUUCUCCUACAAUUGCAAAGCGAACGAAGACGACGCAUAAUUGUGCUGUAAAUCGCUCGCUUCGAUUAUGCAACGGCCGCCCCGCUCUCGCCCCGUUCGUUCGUAAUCGAUGGUUUUAAAUUAUUAUAAUAUUCUGUGUAUGAGGAGAGGAGAUUUCUGUAUAAGGACGGGAGAGAUCCGCUAAUUUCGUACGGUGAGGAUUGGCGUAUACAAUCGUGUAAAUAUAUACACACACACGUCGCAAAAAAAAAAAGGUGUUGCGUUAAUGUCAUGUGCAUUCGCUUUCCUCCAUUACGUAACCGAUCCCUUCCUGCGAACGUGGAAAAAGACAUAAGGAAAGAUGAAACCCGUGUGCCGUUCCCGUUGCCAAAAAUAGGAACGAAAGUUCAGACCUCGUUCAGUCUUCCCGCGUGAAGACGAAUUAUAAAAGAAGGAAAACUACGAAACUUUAUACAGUUCAGCGAUACGGUUUAAACGAUCGCACACUGCAAAUUUAAAUUGAUAUAUGAUAUAUGAUGCACAUUGUACAUACGUGGAAAGGGAAAAAUUUAUCCGCGAAAUUUCGUUAAUUUUGUUACGAAAAGUCAGGGAGGAAGUCUGAUUUCUUACACCUUUAAUAAAAUCGCUGAAAAGAUUUCGUCA